AUAAAAAAAUUAAUAAUAAGAAUAUAAAUAUUAAUUAAAUAAUAAUUAAAUAUAUAUAAAUAAAAAAUAAUUUAGUAAAAGUAAUAAAUUAAUAAAAAUUGUAUAAUAUAAAGUAUUAAGUAAUUAUUUAAUUACAUAAAAUUAGUUAUUUAUAUUUUUACUUUUAAAUAUUGUGCCAGCUAUAGCGGUUAAACAAUAUAGUAAUCAUUAAUAAAAAAAAUUUAUGGGGUGAAAUUAGUAAAUUAAGCUAAAUUUAAUAUUAAAUUAACAGGUGAAAUUUAUAAAUUUAGUUAAUUAUUUAGUUUAUUUAAUUUGAUGUAAUUAUUUUAAAAUAGGAUUAGGUACCCUAGUAUAAAAUUACAAAUUUUCAAUUUAAAUUAGGUUUAAUUAUAUAUAAUUUUUAUUUGGCGGUAGUUUAUUAAUAGGGGGACUUGUUUAUGUAGAUAAAGCUCAAUUAGUUUAUUUAAUUUUAUUUUAUUUAUUGUUGUCAUGAUUAAGCUUUAUAAAUGUAUUUAUCACUAUUUAAUUUAAUAUUAAAUGAUAGAUCAAUAUUUAAACAAAAAUUAAAGAUUAAAUUAGUCACUUUAAUUAAAAAUGAAUAUUUUUUUUAAUUUUUUUUAAGAAUUUAUAAGUAAAAUAAUUUUAAUUAUUUUAUUUGAAAUUUUAUUUUAAACUAUGUUCAUAUUGCCCGUCAAUUCUAUAAAUAAAUGAAUAAGUCGAAACAAAGUUAAUUGAUUGGA
This 740-nucleotide ribosomal RNA is filed under the name Didesmococcus koreanus. RNAcentral describes it as "srRNA". The record is from RNAcentral. Lineage: Eukaryota; Metazoa; Arthropoda; Insecta; Hemiptera; Coccidae.